This 90-nucleotide ribosomal RNA is filed under the name Legionella maceachernii. Lineage: Bacteria; Pseudomonadati; Pseudomonadota; Gammaproteobacteria; Legionellales; Legionellaceae. The record is from RNAcentral.
UCCUGGCGACCAUAGCGGUUUGGAACCACCUGAAUCCAUCUCGAACUCAGAAGUGAAACAGACCUGGCCAAUGAUGUGUGGGGCUUCCCC